RNAcentral lists this ribosomal RNA (609 nucleotides) under Hydrogenophaga sp. RNAcentral describes it as "bacterial SSU rRNA". It matches the Rfam family "Bacterial small subunit ribosomal RNA", at positions 56 to 663 of the family's 1533-position model. The record is from RNAcentral. Lineage: Bacteria; Pseudomonadati; Pseudomonadota; Betaproteobacteria; Burkholderiales; Comamonadaceae.
UGCAGUCGAACGGUAACAGGCCUUCGGGCGCUGACGAGUGGCGAACGGGUGAGUAAUGCAUCGGAACGUGCCCAGUCGUGGGGGAUAACGCAGCGAAAGCUGUGCUAAUACCGCAUACGAUCUGUGGAUGAAAGCGGGGGACCUUCGGGCCUCGCGCGAUUGGAGCGGCCGAUGUCAGAUUAGGUAGUUGGUGGGGUAAAGGCUCACCAAGCCAACGAUCUGUAGCUGGUCUGAGAGGACGACCAGCCACACUGGGACUGAGACACGGCCCAGACUCCUACGGGAGGCAGCAGUGGGGAAUUUUGGACAAUGGGCGCAAGCCUGAUCCAGCAAUGCCGCGUGCAGGAAGAAGGCCUUCGGGUUGUAAACUGCUUUUGUACGGAACGAAACGGUCCUGGUUAAUACCUGGGGCUAAUGACGGUACCGUAAGAAUAAGCACCGGCUAACUACGUGCCAGCAGCCGCGGUAAUACGUAGGGUGCGAGCGUUAAUCGGAAUUACUGGGCGUAAAGCGUGCGCAGGCGGUGCUGUAAGACAGGCGUGAAAUCCCCGGGCUCAACCUGGGAAUUGCGCUUGUGACUGCAGUGCUGGAGUACGGCAGAGGGGGAUG